CUUUAUUUUGAAUAUAAAGUUUAUGGACUAGAUUUUCUCACCAAUCUGUAAACAAGCAUGGCGGCUAAAUCAUGAAGUGAAUAAUUAUGCACAAAUAUUGCCUUGUUUUUACAAAGUUGUCAAUUAUAUUGGCUUAAUUCGGAGGACUUCACCAUGUCGGACAGUGGCCCUUCCGGUGGGAUGUCGUUCCCGCAGAAGGUGCACACUGAGGACGAGGACUUUGUGAUAGAGCUGGAUGAUCACCAUCUGGAUGGGGCCCACGAUGCUUACGGCAUGGACGAUAGGUCACGGUGCAAGCGGAGAAAGCGCUGUGGACAGUGUGGCCCAUGCCAAGUAAAAGAAAACUGCAUGAAGUGCCAUUUCUGUGUCCGAAAAGAUGUCCUGAAGCAGACAUGCAUUUAUAGAAAGUGUAUCUAUUUGAGGUCAAAACCGAAGCCAUACAGUCGUCCACAUCAGAGUCCACAAGGUGGGAAUGUUUCUCCACAAAGGGCUCAUGGUCAUCCAUCCCAGGUUAAGUCCCCACCGCUUGGUUCUCAUUCUGGGAUGGCUUUUCACGACGCUGGUGGCCACCUGCCUGAUGCCCGUUCAGAAAACCCAUUCUUCCCCUCACAGCUACCUCAGCAACCCUCCAUGGUACACGGUGCCCAUCCCAACAAUGGGUACCUGUCGCCACCAAAUCCCGUAUUGGAGAGAACGGCAGCUCUACCAAAUGCUGCUGGCAAUAAUUCAUUAAAUAUGCAAAUGAACAUGAGUCCACAUCAACAUGUCCAGGCAAAUGCAACUUCUCCCCCAGUCCAGAAGCCAGAUCAUACAUCGCCCGUUAUGCCACAGCCUGUAAACAGCCCAUUGGCAGCUGGCAUGCCUGGUCUUCAUGCAACUCCAAUGUCAUCUUGCAGCAGUGUACCGCAUAUGUCUGCAUCCCUGUCGCAUGUUGGACCCACAAUUCCGCUUGUUAUGCAACAGAUGUCAAAUAAUUCACUGUCUGGAUUACCAACCCUGCCCACAAUGGGCAACAUACCGGGCUUAGGAGACCGGUCGUUAAAUGAUUAUCGUUCUGUUGACCAGUUUCCAUUAUCAGGGCACCAUCCUCAUUUUCCAUCUGUUCAUCCCCACAUGACCCAGCGAGAGCCCAGUGGUUUAUUCAGUGAUCAUGCCAGAAUUUCGCACAUGAACUAUAACCAUACUGCCAAUCACCUAGACACAUUAGGACGAGGACCAAAUGACUCUUCGUGCAUGUAUCAUCCAGGAUUAUCAUAUUCAAUGCCUGGACCAUUCCAGCCAAGUGGACCAUCGUUUUUCACGGGCCCUGCAGAUAUGAAUCCAUUUCGAUCAAACUUUUUAAACUCGUUUCCUCCAGGGUAUUCGUAUCCUCCGGACAGAUAUCGGGAGGGGUUUGGAACCCUCCCUUUUUCUAGGCUAGGAAUUACGUCCCCUACAUCAUUCCCACAGUACCCUGGACAAGGUGGAGGAUACAGAGUGGGUAACGCGUUGUCACAACAAUAUUACAAUUCACAGCACGGGUGUCCAAAAAACGGCUCGCGCCCUCCUGUUUCACCCAGCAUUGACGAUGUGAAGGUGAUUCAGGAAGGGUAUAACAAAAAUAGUAGUCAAAAGUCUACUGCAAAUGAAAAUGACGUCCCCAAACAGUGUAAAAAUAGAAAAAAUAGUGAGUUUGAGUUUAUUUCUCCAAAAGGGAGAGAGAAAAAAAUGAAGAAAGAAAAAUUGGAUAAUUCACCUCGUGAUCAGCUGUUUUCCUCGAUGGCUCAUCUUCAGCCAUGGAAUGAUCUGUUUGCCCAUCAUGCUAUGUUUGGUGGGGAUCCCCUAUCUCCGAACAAUCUGGCAAUGUCUCAGAUUGAAAGGUGGCGGUUGUCUCCAUGGUACAAUUCUAGAAGUGAUGAUGUGAGAAGUCGAGCAAGUACAAGCACACUUUCAUCAGACUUUGAGUGUGAAGUGAUUGGUAUUGAUGACCAGCAAGUUAAUGCGCUUAUCAGAUCUGAUGGUUGUAAUAGUAUUGAAAUAGAAUUUGACAAUAGGUCCAUCAGUUCAACAGAUUCGUCUCCGAGAAAGAUGUUAUGUCGUAGCUCCCUUUCUUGUGAAGGUCUGAUCUCUCCAGAUAAAAAUCUCCAGCUGCCUUUUAACAGACCACUCUCCCCUGAGCCAAGGUCGUUCUUUCAUCCUUGGAAUAAUCGAAGCCCAAUUACCAUGAUGAGUGAACAAGAGAUGAUGAAGAGCUUUAAAAAAGCAUUUAAUAUACCGGAUUCUUUUUCUACCUCUAAAAAGAAUGGUGGCAUUAGUUCAGACACUUUCAAAUACAAUCUUGGUCAUAAUCAAACUACAGAUAUGAGAAAAGGUUCAGCAUUGAUUGAAAAUGAAAAACCAAAAACCAAAACCUUUGUGAAAGAAAGUGUCUGCAUUAAGCAAGAUCUUGGAGAAGAAGGCAGCGUUCAGUUAGAGUUGCCAGGCAAUAAGGUCACUAUUGAGAAUAUUGUGUUCACUGAAGAGCUUCUGAAGAACAGUAGUGACAUUGAGGAGCUGAGGAAAUUCAUAUCAAAUUCGCAAGGCAGCACUGACCAAAACCACGUAAAUGAUUGAACAACUUGUAAAAUUGUGUCUUGUUCUAUGAAAAUUUGGCAAAAUGCGUGUGCGUAAAGUGUCGUCCAGAAUUAGCCUGUGCAGUCCGCAAAGGCUUAUCAGGGACGACACUUUCCACUUUAAUAGUAUUUUUCGUAUAAAGUAAGUCCCUUUUUACCGAAAAUCUAGUUUAAGCGGAAAUUGUCAUCCCUGAUUAGCCUGUGCGGACUGCACAGGCUAAUCUGGGACGACACUUUACGUAUAUGCAUUAAGCCCAGUUUUCUCAGAAUUCAUCAAAUCCUUCAAGUUUGUACUGUGUUUUUGAACAAAAAUGUGUAAUGAUUUUGUUUGACAUAUGCAGACCUUUCCAAAGCCAAUUGUAUUGUUGUAUCAGUAUUGAGCUUAAACCUAAGACCUAAAUGCAUUUAACAUAACAACUUAAAUGUUUGUCUAUGUUUAAAAGUACGCGAACCAAUACAAGUAAACUUUUCUCUUUUGCUUUAUUGAAACACUUUAAAAAAAUUGAAGCUAAUGUCAAACUUGUGAACACCAUGUACAGGUCUUACAAAUUGCUAAGGUUUAUGGCUAGUUUUGCUCAUGAGGUCAGUCCGCAUUACAACAGUCAUAAACAUGACAACUUCUUAACAAACCUUUGUUCAUACAUUAGUCAUUACUCAUCUGUUUCACAGGUAAGUAUUGCUUUGUUGAAGUAUGGUUUGUAAAGUUAAUUUGUGUUUGUCUGUUUGUAUGAAUUAUUAAACACCAUUAAAAUAAAACGAUCAUACACCAGCUUAAAAAUAAGGACACUAGUUAUUCAUAUACAUUGUAUUUAGUAUAAGCAGGUGAUAAAUAAUGUCAAUGUUACCAGCAUAUAUGGUAUUGAACAAUUUACAUGUAUUUUGUUUUUGUCUAUGUUGUGAUGUUUUAAAGCAUGGUUAGUGAAAAAAACUAUUUUAUGUUUGACCACAUUUAAAUGGUACAUGCUUAGUAAAAUAUGUAUUUUGUGACACAAAAGUUAUAGAACUUGACUGUAGUGAUCUGAUUUGAAAAUUAUUAUACUCUUUUUGCCAUGGGCUCUUCAUAAUAGGCUAGAUGCGGUAUAACUUGUUUGAUGUUCACAUGUGGAUUUAUUGUAAAUAAUGUAGAUAUAUUAUGGUAGUCAUUGUGACAAGAGUAUUUGUAAAAAAUAUAUAUAUUGCCAUAUUUUAAUAAUUAUUUUCUCUUUCAAGUCUCAACAUCAAUUCUCUUACUCUUCUCCACAUAACCAGACAGAGUUGUCUGAGUUUAACAAAUAUUUGGAACGCUUUGUGCACAGUCAUGUUUGAAAACACGACAAGUGAAAUGUUUUUCAAACACUUUUUAAAUAUUCCUUUUGAUUGAAAAUCAUACACCUGAUUUAACCCAUUUAUGCCUAGCGUCUAGGAAAAAGGCCCUGGCAACCAGCGUAGAACCAGAUGAGACGCCGCAUGAUGCGGCGUCUCAUCAGGGUCUACGCUGUUUGCUUAGAGGAAUUUCUGUAAGAAAUAUUCUAAAUAUAGAAAUAAAUAUACUAGACAUCCCUAAUUUUGGAAAUAAAUUGAUCCAAUUUAGAAGAAUGGGACAGUCCAAUCGGCAUAAAUGGGUUAAACAAGUCUAGAUUCUUGUUUUGCCUCUGAAUUUUAAAUGUUCUUUUCUUUAUUUAAUUUACAGAAGAAACAAAAGGUAAUUUAUCCAUUUCCAAGCAAUGAAUUGGUCCAGGAUUUAUUCUUUUUUUAAUUAGGAUUUUAUACCUAUACACAUGUUGUUUUAUAGAAUUUCUGGUAGUCUUUGAAUUGCUUUACAUCCGUUAUUUCGUUUAAAACAAUUUAUGUGCUGUGUGUAUUCAAAGAAAUGUAUAUGUCAUGAACUGUUGACAUAGUGCUUUUGUGUUGUUAUUUUCUAUCUGUGUCUUGUAUUGAAAGUAAAUAAUAUUAAGUUUUGUUUGAUUUCAUUUUGUUAUCUUGAAAUGAAUGAAGUUUUACAAGCAAAUGCUGUUGCAAUAUUGUUGAAUCAUUUUAUAAUUAGCCUUUCUUUGCUGUGUUUUAAUUGUUAUUUGCAUUCACAUAUUUCAUUCUUGUCAUUUCAAGUACAUGUAGUUUUGCUUUUGAUAUCUUAAAUUUCUUUUACGUUGUAGAGUUAUAUUUUUAGCAUUUACAUGGGAGUAAUUGAUCAGCCAAUACAAUAUUUUUAAUGUUUUAAGCUUUAUUAAGAGCGAAAUUAUUUGCAAGCUUUUGGCUUUAGUAAAAUUGUAGUAUAAUGGCGGUAAUUACAUGAACAAGCAUCAUAGGUUUGAAAAAGAAACUUCACUUUUGCUACAGAAUUUUUAAACUGGCUUGAAGGCUUUAUGUACAUAUUAUAUCUUGGUAAAUUUCAUUAUGGGCCUGAUCUGAAUUGGAACACCUAACAUUACUGAGCAAAUAAAGCAGAGACAAAUUUUUAAUGGACUAUUUACUCGGAAGAGAGUUCAGAUGCAGUAGGGAUGGCAGCAAAUAGUAUCUAAGGAUCCAAUUAAUGUUAACCCCUUUGAGAGCCCUUCCAUUAAUGAUUGUGCUCUAUGAUAUGUUUAAGUGGGAGGUAAGGAAGGCGUCUAUAGAUUUUGAGGUCAACAGGUCAAACGUCAAGCUCAUAGUAACUUUUAACACAAAAUUUGUUUUCUAGCCAAAAAGUUGCUUGUGUUGAAAAGACGACACCUUUUGAUUUUUUGGUCCAAUGUCAAUGUUGGAGGGCUUACAACACAAAAAAACUGUUAAAUCAUUGCAUAAUUUGGCACCUUGGUGGCAUCCUUGGUUCCCAACAGGUCUUGUUAGAUGUGAAAGUUGAACUGUUGCAAGUAGUGAUAUUCAGAUAACAAAAUGCGGAUAUAGUUUCUGAAACUUUUUAUGCCUUUGGAUCAAAUGAUCGAGGGGAAUAUUGUUUUUGGCCUGUCUGUCUGAGUGUCUGUCACUAAACUUCAACCUUGGUCAUAACUUUUGCAAUAUUGAAGAUAGCAACUUGAUAUUUGGCAUGCAUGUGUAUCUCAUGGAGCAUCGCAUUUUGAGUGGUCAAAGGUCAAGGUCAUCCUUCAAGGUCAAAAGUCAAAUAUAUGGCUUUAAAGCGGCGCAAUAGGGGGCAUUGUGUUUCUGACCAACACAUCUCUUGUUAAUUUUAUUCUUCAGGAAAAUUAACACAAUAAUUCUUUUUUACUUUAUGGAAUUUAACUGGAUCUUGGAAUGUCCUAUGACUGCGUAGAAUGCAUGUACUGUGAAUUUUUAAAAAAAGUAUAUGGGCGCUGUAAGCCUCUUGUAGAUUGGAAUAAGUUCUCAGGCAAGCGAGUCAGCCUUUGUUAUGUCCCCCACUAUAGUAGUGGGGGACAUAUUGUUUUUGCCCUGUCUGUUGGUCUGUCUGUUGGUCUGUUUGCGCCAACUUUUAACAUUUUGCAAUAACUUUUGCUAUAUUGAAGAUAGCAACUUCAUAUUUGGCAUGCAUGUGUAUCUCAUGAAGCUGCACAUUUUGAGUGGUGAAAGGUCAAGGUCAAGGUCAUCCUUCAAGGUCAGAGGUCAAAUAUAGGUGGCCAAAAUCGCUCAUUUUAUGAAUACUUUUGCAAUAUUGAAGAUAGCAACUUGAUAUUUGGCAUGCAUGUGUAUCUGAUGGAGCUGCACAUUUUGAGUGGUGAAAGGUCAAGGACAAGGUCAUCCUGCAAGGUCGGAGGUCAAAUAUAUGUGGCCCAAAUCGCUUAUUUUACGAAUACUUUUGCAAUAUUGAAGAUAGCAACUUGAUAUUUGGCAUGCAUGUGUAUCUCAUGGAGCUGCACAUUUUGAAUGGUGAAAGGUCAAGGUCAUCCUUCAAGGUCAGAGGUCAAAUAUAUGUGGCCCAAAUCCCUUAUUUUAUGAAUACUUUUGCAAUAUUGAAGAUAGCAACUUGAUAUUUGGCAUGCAUGUGUAUCUCAUGGAGCUGCACAUUUUGAGUGGUGAAAGGUCAAGGUCAUCCUUCAAGGUCAAGUAUAUGGGUCAAAAUUGCGAAUGUAAUGUCACUUCUGCAAUAUUGAAGCUAGCAAUUUUAUAUUUGAAAUGCGUGUGUAUCUCAAGGAGCUGAACAUUUUGAGUGGUGAAUGGUCAAGGUCAAGGUCAUCCUACAAGGUCAGCAUCAUAUAGGGGGACAUUGUGUUUCUCAAACACAUCUUGUUAACUACUGGGUGUCACUACUAACUACUGGGUAUCCCGCUAAAACAUUUCCAACUGAAUAACCUGGAUGAGUAGAGAUCAUUAAGAAAGGACUUAAGGCUUCAAUGAUUUUUGCACUGUUUGUCCACUUUAUAAUAUUUUAUGACUGAAGCUUUUCUUCACUUUCAUUUUAAUUUAUAGGUAGAUCUUGCUCAUUUUUUUCAGUUGAAUUAUGUGGAUGAUUGCAAAGGAAGGAAAUUUGGCUGAAACAAUAUUAGGGUCCCAGGGAAUAAUCUAGAAUUUACUAUCUAUGGGUCCCUGAACUAGCAGAUUUUAGACCAAUGAGUCCCAGGCCAAAAUUAAUGAGUCCAACUUGAAAAAGAAUGGGUCCCAAAUUUUGAAAGAUACCAAGCUGUGAAGAACAUUUAAGUGACACUAGCUCAAUAACUAUAUUUUGCAUUAAACUUUUAAUAAUCUCUAAAACAGCGAAUUUUGAAACCAAAAAACAAAUUCAGGGUUAUUACUAUCUUGUGUGCCUUCACAUAGGCUAUAAGUGUCUGUUACAUGAAUGUAACCUGUUACAAAAUUUCAACUUUAUUCAAGUCAAUGAUAAUAUUAUUGUUAACAUUCGAAUUGCGAGCCUGAUAAUAUUAUUGUUAACAUCCGAAUUGCGAGCCGUUGACCUACUGUUUUAAAGUUUAGAGUUGUUUGUUUUGGAUCUAGCUUCAACACCUUAUUUCGGAGGCAUUACUUCUGUACUAUUUAUGACUAAGUUACAAAAAGUUAAAGUAGGCCUUCAUCCGGGGACUCUAGAAUAUAUCAUAACACACUCUAUUUAAAAGGUCAAUUCUAAUUGGUUCGUAUUAUACAGCAGCGGCUCAACAAGAGCCAAUCAAAAGACUUGUUGCAGUCUUCAAGCCUCAUUCGGUUAAACUCAGCGUUCAUCGCUACACUUUUGACUCAUACCCCAGAUGGUUCUUACUAAUCGUGAUUCGCGUAUGUGUUAACGGAUUCGGUUCAGCAAUGCGUCCAAGUGGACGCACAUAUUUCAAAACUAUGCGUCCAUUUCGAUAUUUGUGCGUCAUAGACGCGGAACGCGCAUGUAGAUUAUUCCCUGGGGUCCUUUUCCGUUUAAUGACAGUAACAUGUCUUUUAUGUAGAUGAUGAGAAUUAUAGCCCAGUGACAGUUUUCCACGAAAGAACAUUAAAAAAAAAAAAAAAGAACACUUAAGACCCAUUACACUUUGGGUGGUUUUAUUCACUUUUUGGCGGCGGGCGGCGUCCACAGCAGUGUCAGCUCUCAUUCAUAAAGUUUUCAUCCGGUCUUCACCAAACUUGGUCAGAAGUUGUAUCUAGACAAUAUCUAGGUCAAGUUUGAAUAUGGGUUAUGCCGGGUUUCAAACUAGGUCAAAGGGUCAUUUAGUGCAUUUCUAGUAUUAAGCUUGGUGUCCGCUCUCUAAUUGAAGUAGUUUUCAUUCGAUCUUCAACAAAUUUGAUCAGAAGUUGUUACUAAAUUAUAUCUAGGUCAAGUUCAAAUAUGGGUCAUGCCGGGUAAAAAACUAGGUCCCGAGGUUACUUAGUGCAUUUCAAGCAUUAAGCAUGGUGUCCGCUCUCUAAUUGAAGUAGUUUUUAUCCGAUCUUCAACAAAUUUUGGUCAGAAGUUGUAUCUGGACAAUAUCUAGGUGAAGUUCGAAUAUGGGUCGUGCCGGGUUUAAAACUAGGUCAAAGGGUCAUUUAGUGCAUUUCUAGGAUUAAGCAUGGUGUCCGCUCUCUAAUUGAAGUAGUUUUCAUUCGAUCUUCACCAAAUUUGAUCAGAAGUUGUUACUAAAUUAUAUCUAGGUCAAGUUCAAAUAUGGGUCAUGCUGGGUUAAAAACUAGGUCACUGGGUCACUUAGUGCAUUUCAAGGAUUUAGCAUGGUGUCCGCUCUCUAAUUGAAGUAUUUUUCAUCCGAUCUUCACCGAAUUCGGUCAGAAGUUGUGUCUAAAUGAUAUCUAGGUCAAGAACAAAUAUGUGUCUUGGCGGGUCAAAAAAUAGGUAACAAGGUCACUUAAUGAAUUUCAAGCGUUUAGCAUGGUGUCCGCUCUCUACUUGAAGUAGUUUUCAUCUGAUCUUCACUGAAUUUGGUCAGAAGUUGAGUCUAAAUGAUAUCUAGGUCAAGAACAAAUAUGGGUCUUGCCGGGUCAAAAACUAGGUCACUUAAUGCAUUUCAAGCAUUUAGCAUGGUGUCAGCUCUCUAAUUGAAGUAGUUUUCAUCCUGUCUUAACCAAAUUUGGUCAGAAGUUGUGUCUAGAUUAUAUCUAGGUCAAGUUCAAAUAUGUGCUGCUUAAUUUUCAAAAAUAUAUCAUUUUGCCACUCAAAUGGUAAAGCUAUCAAGUUGUCCAAAACCUUCAAACGGGCGUAUCUUGUGACAGUUUGGCACUCUUGUUAACUAAUGCAUAAAACUCACUUAAACUUUUACAGUUGAAUGAUCUUUUUUUGAAGAUCAUCGUCAAGGAAGAUUUGUGGGCUAUUGUCUUUUUGUCUUGUAUAGAAUAACUAGUGGGUUUGUUUGUGUUUAAACAUGUGCUUUGGGGCCAUCAGUGUCUGUUACACAUUUCCAGUCACCUCAAAAAUUUCUUUUCUCUGUGCAUCUUGUGUACAAACACAAGCAAAUUCUGCUAUUUUUUUUGUCAUAUCUUGUGCUCAUCCCACUCAACAAAGGUGUAAAGGGGUUAUCUAUGUUUAAGUUGGCUGUCUGUUGUUGUUAUCCGAAUGUCAGAUUUCCAAAUCGGGAACAUAUCAUAAAAAAACUAAAACUCAUGUUUGCAGGUUGAUAUCAUUUAGGUGUUGUAAAAUGCACUUGCACCAUAACUUGUGUUCCCCCUUUAUUGCACAUUUUUGUACUAAGAUGUUGAGCUGAGCUUUUCAUGAAAACUAUUAUAGGUAUCAAAUAGAAACUAACACAGUUAGGUAUAUCUUUGUUAGGGGAUGAACAGUGGUGUAGUGGAUAUGGUGACCGCCUAGCGGGAGGUCACAGGUUCCAUCCCCAUGUGGAAGCGGUCUUUAGAUUUCCCCAAUAGACACCAAGUACUGGUUCUAGUCCUAGGAAAAGGACUCGAAAGUGUUUCGUAUAAGCCUUAGGCUUUCUAUUCAAUUGAGCUAAAAUAAAUAGGUUUAAACUAAACUAACAGUGUGGAAAGUGCAGUGCAUUAGAGCCAAAAAUUAUGCUGUCAUACUUUCAAUUUUAUAGCCCUUGUGAAUUUUCAUGUUGAAAUUUUGUACAUGGGUUAUCUCAACUUUGAAGUAUCAAUGCAAUAAACUUGUAGGCAUGACAGUGACAGUUCUAAUUGGGUCUCACCGUCUGAUAAUGCCAGUAACAGCAGGGCUCAACAUUAACCUAAAAACCAACUUGCCCUGCUGGGCAAGUACUUAGAAAAUCUACUUGCCCUGAACGUAAAGCCAUUUGCCCAAACAUGAAAUAUCACAUUAACUGUUAACCUCAUAUUUUGUAAUGAAGAUCAAAAUGACACACCACAAAACCUUUUUUAUUUUUGCACAUUUAACAAAAUGAUUACAGCAAUUAAAGUCUAAUUAAAGUCUAAAUUAAAUGCUUUGUUCUUUUUUGCACUUGCCCGGUUGGACAACUAGAUUAUAAAAUAACUUGCCUGGACCCACCUUUUACUUGCCAGGGGCAAUAGGACAACCGUUAAUGUUGAGCCCUGAACAGCGUGAUUGACAAAUCAAACUGAUUCCUCUUUGUAGAUACAUGGUAUUGUCUAGAUAUUGUAAGGGACAUCUGCAUGGUUUCAUCUUUGCCAGGAGUUUGGUGAGCGCCUUAGGCCAUAAAGAUUCUGCUAUAUGCUAUUGAGAACCCUGUAGAACACUUACUAAGCUUAUCCUUGUACAUAUCCAUGUGCACAAGCUAUAUUGUCCCCUACCGGUGAAACUGGAGGGAACUUAUGGUUUGCACUCUGUCUGCCAGUCUGUCUGUUAGUCAGUCACACUUUUCUGGAUCCUGCAAGAACUUAAAGUUCUUCGUAUUUUUUCGUGAAACUUGAAACAUGGACAGAUGGCAAUAAGGACAUUAUGCACGGCAUUUCAUUUUGUUCCUACGACAAGAAUUCUGGAUGCUAUCGCAACAAAUACAAAAAUAUAAAAAAAUCUGAAAAUAGUGGAGUUUCACUGGUAGGGGACCAUAAUGCUUUUAAUGUCAUAUUUGAUCACUGCAGUGCUAAUAUUUUGGCCCAAAACCACCUUGCAGAAAUUAUGUAAUCCUUACCAACUAGUGUCAUUUAUUCAGAAUCAAAUAGGACGGGCCCCUGAUACCAUUUUUUCAGAUUCUCUGUAGUGCUUACCAUUUUAAGCAUUUCAGAAAUGCUGUAAGCUCAUUUGAAUUUUUGAUUGGUGGAAAGGCUGACCCAAAACAGUUGUGGUUACCCAAGAUUAAUAUUUAAGAAUAAGUAAUUUCAGAAAGUCAAUAGUGCUUGCCUAAAAAUGACUUAUUUUCGAAAGUGCUUGUACAUUACUGUUAAUUUUGAAUUGCAGAAUAGUUAUGCUUUUUUACCUUGAAACAUCAUGAUUAAAUUAUUGAUUGCUUAUGUUUUGAUAACUCAACCAACACAAAAGAAGACUUGCAUAAAUGCCUUAUUGACAUGUCAACAUUAAAAGUGCACAUCAAAAAAAAAAUAUUUUGAAAAUUGUCAAUGACAUACACAAAUAAAAAAAUGCUUUAAACCAUAAUAAUAAGUGUAAGAUUAAAACUCACAUGCCUGGUCUGGCCUUAAAUCCUUCUUAUUUUAGAACUCUGGACUAUUUUGGAUCUUUGAUUUUUUCACUUGAGCAAUACAAAGGUGACAAAGGUGUGGAAACAUGGUUGUUAAAUUGUACAAGAGGGUUAAACAAUUCUCCCAUGUUGUCGGACUAUUCUUGUUUGUUUUU
Molecule: RNA transcript, 11646 nt
Organism: Dreissena polymorpha
Lineage: Eukaryota; Metazoa; Mollusca; Bivalvia; Myida; Dreissenidae
Exons: 3
Source: RefSeq, a predicted model, not a curated record